Molecule: long non-coding RNA, 255 nt
Filed under: Elaeis guineensis (African oil palm)
Lineage: Eukaryota; Viridiplantae; Streptophyta; Magnoliopsida; Arecales; Arecaceae
Description: long non-coding RNA (EGUI_LNC004553)
Source: RNAcentral
GCCGAAUGGAGGAGGGACCGAGGGGAGAGGCUCGGUGGCUCAGGCUCCAAUGAAGGGCGGUGGCAUGGUCGAAGCUCUGACAACAGGUGAAGGUGGCGGUGGAGCGAAGGAUGGUCGGCGACGAGAUUCGAUCGAUAGAGAUAUGAAAACAAUGAAAAAUAGGAGACUUUUUCUCUGACAAAAUCUGAUGACUCCGAUCAUCGACAAUCGUGCUCACAGGCACGGGAGAAGGGAGAGAAGAGAAGAGAGGAAGAG